Molecule: non-coding RNA, 776 nt
Filed under: Chlorogomphus shanicus
Lineage: Eukaryota; Metazoa; Arthropoda; Insecta; Odonata; Chlorogomphidae
Source: RNAcentral
UUAAAGUUUUAUCCUUGCUUUAUUAUUCACUAAAUGAAUAUUUCACAUACUUUGCUUUUAAAUUACUAAUUAUUCCUUAAUGGAUUGUUAUUAAUAUUAUGGUAGUGAUUUUUAUUAUUUAUUAAUUUAUUUUAGAGAUAGUAAUUUAUAUACUUCUGGUUAAAAUCGUGCCAGCCGCCGCGGUUAAACGAAGAGAAGAAGUGAAUAUUAUUGGUUAAAUUGCAGUUAGUUAUUAUAUUGUUCUUAAUAAGAAUAUUUUUAGGUGAAAUUUAUAAUUUUUAUUUAAAGAUGAUGAGACGAAGCUGUGAAGUCUUUAAUAAAAACAAGGAUUAGAUACCCUUUUAUUUUGGAUGUAAAUAUUAACCUGGGUAGUAUUAGUUAAGUUCUUGAAACCCAGAGGAUUUGGCGGUACUUUAGUCUUUUCAGAGGAACCUGUCCCGUUAUCGAUAUUCCACGAGGCUUAGUUACUUACUUUUAUUAAUUUGUAUACCUCCGUCAUAAGAGUAUCCUUUUAGGGGGAUAAUAUUCUUAUUUUACCAAAUUUAAAAUGUCAGGUCAAGGUGCAAUUUAUAGGUAAGAGGAGAUGGGUUACAAUAAAAUUAUUUAUAUGAAUUGAAAUAUUUAUUGUUUCAUGAAGGUGGAUUUGAUAGUAAUUUUGAUCACUAAUCGAUUUGAUUUAAGCUCUAAAGUAUGCACACAUCGCCCGUCGCUCUCAUUAGUUAAAGUGAGAUAAGUCGUAACAUAGUAGACGUAUCGGAAGGUGUGUCUAGUAAGUA